AGUGAAUAGAUACCCAGGUAGUCCCAGCUGUAAACGAUGCGCGUUAGGUGUAUCGGUGACCACGAGUCACCGAGGUGCCGAAGGGAAACCGUGAAACGUGCCGCCUGGGAAGUACGGUCGCAAGGCUGAAACUUAAAGGAAUUGGCGGGGGAGCACCACAACAGGUGGAGCCUGCGGUUUAAUCGGACUCAACGCCGGGAAGCUCACCGGAUAAGACAGCUGAAUGAUAGCCGGGUUGAAGACUCUGCUUGACUAGCUGAGAGGAGGUGCAUGGCCGUCGUCAGUUCGUACUGUGAAGCAUCCUGUUAAGUUAGGCAACGAGCGAGACCCACGCCAACAGUUGCCAGCAUGUCCUCCGGGAUGGUGGGGACACUGUUGGGACCGCCUCUGCUAAAGAGGAGGAAGGAAUGGGCAACGGUAGGUCAGCAUGCCCCGAAUUAUCCGGGCUACACGCGGGCUACAAUGGUCAGGACAAUGGGUAUCAACACCGAAAGGUGGAGGCAAUCUCCUAAACCUGUCCUUAGUUCGGAUUGUGGGCU
Molecule: ribosomal RNA, 539 nt
Filed under: uncultured bacterium
Lineage: Bacteria
Description: bacterial SSU rRNA
Rfam family: Archaeal small subunit ribosomal RNA
Source: RNAcentral